This is a long non-coding RNA of Dromaius novaehollandiae (emu), 3751 nucleotides long. RefSeq lists it as uncharacterized. The transcript has 7 exons. NCBI's taxonomy places the organism in Eukaryota, Metazoa, Chordata, Aves, Casuariiformes, Dromaiidae. The record is from RefSeq and is a predicted model, not a curated record.
GCUCCAGGGCGAGACUCCUCCCGUCCCUGCAUCUUCCCCCCCCGCCCUUUGCGCGAGUUUCUUUCUCCGCGACCCUGCCGCGCCUGUCGAGACUACCAGCCUGCCACAGCGUCUCCUUGCCGCCACUCGCUCCCCUCGUAAGCGGCGCUGCCCAGACGGCGCAUGGCAACAGCGCCCGGCUCAGUCCAACGCUGGAAUCGCUGAGGUUUUGCUGAAUCGCUCAGUGGGCGAGCACAGACGUGCUGCCUUUGCAGCCUGAACUGUUCAUUCAUGAAGACAUAAUUAUCCUCAGAGUCCCUCCAACCUUCUUUGAAAAUUAGCAUCUGAACACAGAUAAGACAACUAACUGGAAUGAAAAAGGCAUCAUGGUAGAAAAUGGACUGGCAACGAGACAAAACAUAUGAUGAAGUUAUUUAAGUCUCUGGAGUAUUGGAUCUGAGACCCACAAUAAAAUACUUCAGUAACUGUGCUUCAGUUGAUGCAGUUUCUCCUAAUAAACAAGACAGCUAAGAACUAGGAGAGUUGGUUCCAUACUCACUGCGGCUACUGACUGGCAAUGCACCCACGUUUGAUAUUAAUAAUACAGAGCGAAUACUACAAUUAAAGAAAAAUCAUCUGCGAAUGUUUGCUUCGCACGUUAGUCCAGAAGAUCCUGGAAGUGAACAAGGAGUGGAAGCUCAAUUUGUAUAUGCAGAACUGGAAGCUGAGUGCUUGUUACAAUUCUUUCUCUGUUCUGAUCUGCAAAGGGUCAUUUGCUACAGCCAUCAAGAAUACAGUUAUGGCUCGACUGCACUAAUUACACUCUAGUCCUAUGAAGCGCCUAGUUCAUAUCCCACUCUGACACUGAGUGAAUUAGCAUGUGUAAUUUCAUCCAUUCUGAAGAAGAGGUAAGAUCCAGACUUCCUGAUGACAGCUAUUGAUAGCACUUGCACAUCCAGAUAUCCAUUGGGAAAGCAGGCUGAAACACUCAAGUAGUUUGCUUCCUUGGAGGAGCGAGUUGCCUACCAGGGGAUAUCUAGAUCUCUGGGGAAAUUCUACAAUAAAAGUCACAAUGUAGAUUUUGGAAUUCUGGGCAGGAAAUACAAAACAAAUCACAGCUGACAGUUUUCCAAUACCCAUUUCUUUGGUCAAGCUCAAAAUAUCAUCAUCAGGAAGUCCAGAUAUAUCAUUUGUCAAACACGGUAUUUCUACUGUGGUUUAUGUGAUAUGGUUCAGAUUACAAAAUCACUAGUAUCAGUGUAAGCCAGAAAUUUGGUGCAGACCAGAAAAUACCAAGCAGGAGAACAGGGCAGAGAAAAUCAUUUCCUUAUCCUCCAUUCCACUAAAACUUCAUGUGAUUGAACACUGUUCAACCAAAAUUCCCCAACUAGCUUGCAAAGAGCAGCUAAAUUGAGACUGGGGCUUCAUUUUAGCAGAGCAAUUACAAGCUUAGACUCACACAUCCACUAAACUUUUAGAAACCAUUAAAUAGAAAAGAAAAAAACAGUAAGUUUGUAUUGUGCUGCUUGGCAAACCUACAUUUCAGAUACAUUUUUUCUCCAAUUCACUCAGUGCAUCCUUUGGUUUUCCAUAAUUUAAGCAUAUGAUUCUUAUUCCAGACAUGCUGCAUGCUUCCUUGAAUAGAAAUCUGUAUCAAUGUCUUUGUAUUAGUGUCCCAAAACAUCAUCAACACUAAUGUUAGAACAGACAUCAAUGCAAUCAGAAAACCUGCAGUUGAUCAGUGUAAGAGAAGGCUGAGGGAUACUCAUGAAAAUCUUCAGUUACCUAUAUACUAAAAAAAAAAAAAAAAAAAAAAAAAAAAUUGCUGCAAAGAGGAGGGGAAUGCAUUAUUGAUCAAGCCACCGUGAGCAGAGAGAACAAGUAACAGGCUUCACUGGCAAUAAAUGUGGUGCAAGUCAGGAAUAAAGGAUGCUCUUUUUUAUCCCUCAGGAAAAGAUGAACAGCUCAAUCUUGGCAGUCAUGGGGUCCAAAUUCCUAGUUUCAUGGCCUACCAUCGAGCAAAAACAAGUGCUGCUCUGAAAGAAAAUGUGCAUUUGCAAAAAGAAGAGUGCUGCUAGCCUGUCCAGGCAUAACAAAGUGUCUCAGUUCUGUGCUGCAGGGAUAUUCAGCCAUCAGGACAGCAAUAUUGCCUGGAGGCUCUUCUUCCUCUUCUUCAAGAGAAAAGCAAUAGGUCUGAUCCACCAGUAAGCCAACAGUGGACCUGUGGCAAACAAAACAUCUGUCAAAAAAAUAGGGAAUGCCAAUGAAAAGACUGUCAGUUUUCUAAGGAGAGCCGCUUCCGUCUAUAACACAUCUCACAAUGGACCAAAAUAAAUGAACAUCAAAUCCUUCAGUCUGCCUUCAGCAAGAAAUCCUUUCAGGAGACCAGGACAAGAUGGUACACUGAGUUUAUGUGCUCAGCUUUUGAAGACAGCUUUGGAUGUUUUCCCUGGCAGUAGUGCUGUCAAAAGGUGGCUUUGGAUAGCUCCUUGUCAGUGAAGAAGGCAAACUCCUCUGUCAGAUUGUCCCUGUGGUCUGGGAUUGUGGCAUAAUACUCCUUAAUGUGAAAAUCAUAAAAGUUUGAGCAUUAUUUUCUAUUACAACACAUUUUAUGGAACACAUUUUUCUCUACUUCAGCAAUAUUUAAUGCUGAUUUGGGCUGAUUUUUUGAAAAACUCUUUAAAAGAAAGAACUUAUCUGGACAGACCAUAACUGUCAUUGUCCAGUUGGAGAGUGACAAUAAGUUCUGAUCUAAAGAUGUGAACUGGUGCUCAGAGAGGGAAUUAAUACCACUGUGUUUCUUUCUCGCGUAUGUACUUCCACAUCUCGUUUUAGGAUUAUCUCUAAAUUUGUGUGCUACUAGCUAACAUAUAAACAAAGGAAAACCUUCUGACUGCUUUUGCACUCAGAGUGAUUAUCUGCUCACAUCUUUAAUUUUACACCAUAAUUUGCAAGUAUAAUAGAGAAAGUUCUUUAGUGCAUUAAGAAACUUGUCUUCCUAUAUUCUUAAUCUCCAGCAUGAGGGUUGUUUCACCUCUUCCAUCUUCUUUCACUUAUCUUCCAGCAUCUUAAAUGUUUUCAUCCUUCUGCACCUCAGCAUUGUUACCAAAUGUCCAAUGCAUAUAGAAAAAAAAUACUGGAAUUACAGGUUAUUUGUACGUUCCAUUACAAACUGAAAAACUCUUUAUGAAAGUAUCCACGGUGAUAACUCUGAGCGCCCUGAACUUCAUCCUCAUAGGUGGCCACAAUUGAAUAAUUUAGAGGACCUUUCUAAGGGGCAAUAUGAGUUAAUUUUGCUAGCAUCAGAUUGAUCUUAUCUCAAGGACUUUAAGUUCUUCACUACUAAAUGUCAUGUACCUGUUGAAUAACAAGUAGGUUCUUUAACAGCAGUUUGAUUAAUUUCUAUGGUGAAUUAUUAUUUACAUAAUGCUCAAAAGGUAUUAGCUGCUUUAUAGACAAGUAUGAUGAAGAGAAAUUCUUGUCUCACAGAGUUCAGUCUGAGAAUUUGAUUCUGCAAAACUUUACUCACAGGAAUUUGCUGAAGUAAGCAGUCUUGCUCAACUCAGUGAGAAAAUUCAUGUAUAUAUAUUUAUUUAACCACAAACAAUUUUGGGAUGGUGUAUGUCAAAAUGUAUCACUGAACCUAUUUUCUCUUCCAUGGUAUUUAAAACUCAGCAGCCUAAACAAGGCAUAGGAACACAAGCAGAAAACUAUGCCUUCCAAAUCCAAUACUGUAAUCAAUUUCUCUAUUAAAGAAAAAGACAAAAUCAGA